AUCACCCAGACACUGUGAAAGUUUUGAGGUUAUUCAAAGUCCAAGUUUGCUUUGCUGCCAUUUGUGGAUGCAUGUCAAUGUCAUCUUCUUCGAAACCAAUCAUCAAUUCUAUUUGAAUUGGAUCCUUCUGCUGCUCUUCCUUCUAAUUUUGAGAGAGAUUAUUCCACAAGCUAUAUGCUCAAGAUAUGGGCUUUCUGUUGCUUCGAAUUUUGUUUGGCUUGUUGGCAUUCUGAUGAUCAUCUGCUAUCCAAUCGCCUACCCAAUUAGAAAAGUUCUUGAUCUUGUACUUGGACAUGGAAAUGAUUUGUUCAGGCGAGCACAGUUGAAAGCCCUCAUCUCUAUUCACGACCUUCAGGCUGGAAAGGGAGGUGAACUAACACAUGAUAAGACAACGAUUAUCAGUGGAGCGCUAGAUUUAACUGAAAAGACUGCCAAGGAGGCUAUAACACCUAUUGAAUCAAGGUUGUGCUUGGAUGUUGAUUCAAAGUUAGACUGCGAAGCAAUUGGGAAAAUUCUUGCACAUGUUAGAAUGUGUUGCUGAGCUUGUAGGAAGGGUACUUUAUCUGAAGGAGACAAGAUCACCUUAGAAACUGCAAAGCUGUUGAGAGAGAAUUCUCUCGCACAGGAUGCAUUUAAGUUCCUACUCUAAUCUUUCUUUGAUCCAUAUAUACUUUUCAUUUUGGUUGGGACUGGUAGUCACUAAUGAUCAUUCACCUGUUGUAAGGGUGGACAAAUAUGAUAACUUCUACCUUUUCUACAAGUCUGUUUGGAUGAUGCGGAAGAUCAUCCAUUUCUUCAAUUUAGCAAAUCAGCUCUAACAAAUUUGAGGAUCAUACUGAAGGCGAACAACCUCUUGUUGCAAAAUUUAGAAGCUACAUGAAGACUUGACAAAUGGUUUCCAUGCCUUGAGGAUGAAUCGAUGAUUGGACUUGAUACUUCUUUUGGAUGGUUCGUGUUGCUGUUAUAAAUUGCAUGGUGAUGACAAUUGGAGUUACUGUAGUUUCUGUUGUGCAUGAGGAAGUGUUAGGUUAUUGUGACGCCAUUUUUGCUUUGCUUAUGUGGCGGUUGCUCUAGUUUGGAUGUGUAGUUACAACUUCCUGUCAUUCCCUUCAUGUUUUUACUGGAGACUAGAUUCUAUUCCUCAUGUAUUUAAGCAAUAAGGUAUUCAAGAUUUUUCAUUUUUGAUGGUUCUUAGUUGCCUCUA
RNA transcript from Rosa chinensis, 1204 nucleotides. It is a transcript of the gene named DUF21 domain-containing protein At4g14240-like, with no coding region annotated. The transcript is spliced from 9 exons. The record is from RefSeq and is a predicted model, not a curated record. NCBI's taxonomy places the organism in Eukaryota, Viridiplantae, Streptophyta, Magnoliopsida, Rosales, Rosaceae.